This 622-nucleotide ribosomal RNA is filed under the name uncultured bacterium. RNAcentral's name for it is "bacterial SSU rRNA". It matches the Rfam family "Bacterial small subunit ribosomal RNA", at positions 202 to 842 of the family's 1533-position model. The record is from RNAcentral.
CAAAGGAGCAAUCCGCUGAAAGAUGGGCUCGCGUCCGAUUAGGUAGUUGGCGGGGCAACGGCCCACCAAGCCGACGAUCGGUAGCCGGACUGAGAGGUUGAACGGCCACAUUGGGACUGAGACACGGCCCAGACUCCUACGGGAGGCAGCAGUGAGGGAUAUUGGUCAAUGGGGGAAACCCUGAACCAGCAACGCCGCGUGAGGGAAGACGGUUUUCGGAUUGUAAACCUCUGUCCUCUGUGAAGAUGAUGACGGUAGCAGAGGAGGAAGCUCCGGCUAACUACGUGCCAGCAGCCGCGGUAAUACGUAGGGAGCAAGCGUUGUCCGGAUUUACUGGGUGUAAAGGGUGCGUAGGCGGCUUUGCGAGUCAGAAGUGAAAUCCAUGGGCUUAACCCAUGAACUGCUUUUGAAACUGCAGAGCUUGAGUGGAGUAGAGGUAGGCGGAAUUCCCGGUGUAGCGGUGAAAUGCGUAGAGAUCGGGAGGAACACCAGUGGCGAAGGCGGCCUGCUGGGCUCUAACUGACGCUGAGGCACGAAAGCGUGGGUAGCAAACAGGAUUAGAUACCCUGGUAGUCCACGCUGUAAACGAUGAUUACUAGGUGUGGGUGGACUGACCCCAUCC